Vespa crabro (European hornet) is the source of this 2891-nucleotide long non-coding RNA. RefSeq lists it as uncharacterized. Lineage: Eukaryota; Metazoa; Arthropoda; Insecta; Hymenoptera; Vespidae. The transcript has 2 exons. The record is from RefSeq and is a predicted model, not a curated record.
GACGAACAAUUUACGGAACCAUUAACACGACAGCGACAAACAUCGUUAUUUCGUGAAAACAGUUUCAAAUGGCAAAUUGGAGAAGCCAAUAUGACUAAAGUUCGAACGAAUUUACUAACUCAACGAGCCGUGACCGAUCGCACAUGUCGCUCUAAUUCAAAGUAGAUACUUUCCAUGUCUCCUCGAUCGAGGGGAUUGAGAAAUGCUGCGGGUUCCCUCGUGAGAACUCAAAAUGGAUAUCUACAAUUUUUCUUUUAGAUUCAACUUUGAAAUUGCUUAUCGAUCCCAUGCUAAUCGUAUGUCGUUCGAAUGACUAUGCAAAGUUGGUUAAAGCCGAACCAACCCCCACCAAAAUAGUCCAUUAGUAAAUUCCCUUAUGGAGUACCAUGGCUAAUUCGAAAUAAUUCGAUCACUUAUUUUACAUAUCCCAAUCAAGUAGAAAUCAUUUUAUUAAUAUAUAUAUAUAUAUAUAUAUAUAUAUAUAUAUAUAUAUAUAUCCACUUGGCCAAUGAUAUUUAUUUUCUUUGUGAAAAUUAAAGAAAAAGGAAAAUAAAAUAAAUUAAAAAAAAAAAAAAAGAAUUGAAGUGAACUGUACCAUUCGAAGAUAGAACGAUCGGAAUCUGCCAUAAGUAUGGAACUAUGAAAGAUCAUUAAAAAUAACGAAAAAAAUUUUAAUACUGUAUAUAUUUAAGUAUAUGCUUACGUAUAUAUAUAUAUAUAUACUUACUUUCCCAAUGAUACUUCCUUUCUUUGUGAAAAUAAAACAAAAUAAAAAAAAAAAAAACGAAAUAAAUAAAUAAAAAUAAAAAAGAAAGAAAAAGAACAAACAACAAACAAACAAACUAUACCAUUCGAGACGCGGAACAAGACGUGUAACUCCAGUAGUCUCUGAUAACUUUCUACGGUAUCGAUUACGAAUGUCGAUCAAGGACGUAAAGGAUGAAAGAUGAUACUCAUAAUAAAUAAAUAUUCUCCCGUUUUAAUAUACGCACGUGCACGUACACAUAUACAAACACGUAUGUACGCACGCACAUAAAUACAUAGAAAGAUGGACAAUUCGUUGCGACAAUAUCUAAUAUUACGAAAUAUUCGUGAGAGGAUAGAUCAUGAUCGAGAUCUAGAAAUUCGAGGAUAAAACUACUAUAUAUAUAUACAUUCGUAUCAAAUCGCAAAGAGAUGCAAUUUCAACGUAUCUCUCACGUACUUACUUACUUACUUUCACGCAGAUGUAAUCGUUUAAAUCUUGAAAAAGAGUGUCCUUGAUUCAAAGGACAAUGAAUAGGGUAGAUUCGGUGACAGGGAAACGAAGUAUGAGUACUUCCUGGGUACCAUAGACGCAGAUGUGAUGCCAAUAGUUAUCACGUGCCGAUGACAAUAGCGAUUGCACCCAGUUUUCUCUCUCUCUCUCUCUCUCUCUCUCUCUCUCUCUUUCUAUUUUCUUUCUAAGCUACGGAAGAAUACUCUUGGAAGGGACAAUGCCUGGAACGAAAGAUAUCCCGGUAACAAUGCCUGACCACUUUUGGAACAUCUCCAGAAUUGAAACAAUUGGAAACUUAAGAUUUUUAGAACCCGAUUAAUUUUACUUCUUAUUAUUGGAGGAACAACCGUAGAAUAUUAUUAGUAAAUAAUUUAUUCUGUAUCUUCAAGAGUUAUAUUUACGUGUAAAAAGAAAGAAAGAAAAAAAAAAGAAAAAAAUAAAAAAGAACAAGAACAACAGAAAGAAAUGAAAAUUAAAUGACGUUGUUAACGUGUUGAAUAUUAAAACAACGCAACUUUUUUCUCUUGGAGUAUAAUAUUGCAUGAGAGAAAAGAAGGAUAAAAAAGGAAAAAAAGUAUUAAACGAUUUCAAAAAAACGUUCCCGAAUAUUCUAUAACCUAUUCUCAUUUUUCUAGGAAAAGUAAAAUUACAUGAGGACAAAAUUGGAUGAUUUUAUCGUUAAAAUUUCGGUCGAUGUUGCAACAAAGAAAUGAAUGGUAACCAGGAGAAAGGAAAUAUAUGAAAUUUCAAGAAGAGCAGCUGGUGAGAAGAUUGGCGUCGAUCCGUGAAAAGAUAGAAGAGAGAAGGGAGGGGAGGGGAGAGAGAGAAAAAGAAAAAGAGAGAGAGAGAGAGAGAGAGAAAAGAAGGGGCGGGGGAGCACGCGCGAGAUUAGAAAAGAAAAUCAAGGGGGGUAAAAUAGGAAAGUUAGGGGAAAAAGGACAACGUGGUACGAACCUACCCCACGAGGGUUAGAGGCCAAUGUGGUACAGUUCUCCCUAACUCACUUCUUCCCCUCCCCCAUCUCCCACUCUUCAUCCCUCUUACUAACUAAACGUACGUGUAGGUACACGUGCUCGGGAAGGGUAGUCCCUGCUUCUAAAAGCUACCAUUGCUUCCGGUGAAUACCCACAAACGUUUCUACUACCUACCUAUCGAACACGUUAAGACUACGAUGAAAGAAAAAGAAAGAGAUAGAUAGAUACAUAGAACGUAAGAGAGAGAGAGAGAGAGUGAGUGCGUGAGUGUGUAAGUGAGUAAGAAAGAGACAGAAGAAGAGAGGGAUAUCAGAGCAAGCAACGCAACGGAAUCGCAGUACACACCAGGACGACUAACGAACGCGAGUGAUAUUCGCGCGAGUGCGCGAGAUUUUAACGAAUGACAGUGAGGAAUUAUCGAUACAGGUCGUCGAUAGAGAUAUUCCUCUAUGUAUUUCGUUGAUUCGCAUGAGAAUUAAAUGAAGGAUAUAUGGAUUAAUUAGUAUAAAUGUGAAACGAAUCGCUCGAUAUAUUCGUCCGGUCGGAGGAAUGAUAAUGAAAUUCUUGAGAUUUUGAUUCGCCGACGACGGAGUUGAAGAGAGACAGAGAGAGAGAGAGAGAGAGAGAGAGAGAGAGAGAGAGAAAAGAGAGAAAAAGAG